CAGAUGCAUAAUAAAGGAUUCUUAACACCAACAUCGAGGUCACAAAAUCAUGAUGUUGUGCGAACUCUCUAAAAGAAUUAAUGCUGUUAUCCCUAUAGUAACUUGUUAUUUUUUAACAAAUUGUUGAUUUUACUAGAUUUAUAUAUCAUAAUAUAUAAAUAACAUUAUCUUAUUUGCUGCCCCAGCAAAACAGUUUNUGUAUUAGUUUGAAAGUAAUACUANAUUGUAAAGUUUUAUAGGGUCUUCUUGUCUUUAAGAAUAAUUUUAGCUUUUUUACUAAAAAGUCAACUUCAUCAUAUUGUUAUGAGACAAAAUUACAUAGUUAUUCCUUUCAUUCCAG
RNAcentral lists this ribosomal RNA (340 nucleotides) under Mesobuthus eupeus (lesser Asian scorpion). Its description in RNAcentral is "partial 16S ribosomal RNA". Lineage: Eukaryota; Metazoa; Arthropoda; Arachnida; Scorpiones; Buthidae. The record is from RNAcentral.